This 253-nucleotide ribosomal RNA is filed under the name uncultured bacterium. RNAcentral's name for it is "partial 16S ribosomal RNA". It matches the Rfam family "Bacterial small subunit ribosomal RNA", at positions 524 to 776 of the family's 1533-position model. The record is from RNAcentral.
UACGUAGGGUGCGAGCGUUGUCCGGAAUUAUUGGGCGUAAAGAGCUCGUAGGCGGCUCGUUGCGUCGGCUGUGAAAACCCGCAGCUCAACUGUGGGCUUGCAGCCGAUACGGGCGGGCUAGGAUUCGGUAGGGGAGACUGGAAUUCCAGGUGUAGCGGUGAAAUGCGUAGAGAUCUGGAGGAACACCGAUGGCGAAGGCAGCCUUCUGGGCCAACACUGACGCUCAUGCACGAAAGCGUGGGGAGCAAACAGG